Molecule: long non-coding RNA, 605 nt
Organism: Lontra canadensis (Northern American river otter)
Lineage: Eukaryota; Metazoa; Chordata; Mammalia; Carnivora; Mustelidae
Exons: 3
Source: RefSeq, a predicted model, not a curated record
GAGAACUUGCCCCUUCUAUGAAGGAGCUUGCCAUUGAAUGGGAGAGACAGGCAAUUCAACCAGGGACCACAGUGCAGAGUGAUCUGUCUCCAUCACUUUGGAUUAUGAACACCAGGAGUGAUAUACAAGAACAUAACAAAGAGUAUGAACUGAAGAAGACAGGUCAGGAAAGAUUGUUCUAAGCCUGAAACAAUCCAAAGGAAAGUAUCAUCACCUACUUAAGACUGGCAGUUCCAAGGAGAAGUACCAAAGCAUUAAGUACCUGGAGAAAACAUCUACAACAGUGGAAACUAAGAAACCCGCAAAUCACAGACAGGUAAGAUUAGAGUGAUUAUGUGUAUUUUGAAAGAGAUAAAUGUCAUAUUGAAGGCCCUCAAAGGCUGUGGUAACAAGGCUGAGGCACUCUGGUAAAUGUUGAAGGAUCUAAAAAUAGUAGUGAAAACUACCCAGUAUUUAACAAGACUCACAGAAUCCAUGAUGCCAGUACAGCUUAAGUAUAGUGGAGGUGAAAUGAGAAAUUGAAUACUCCACCCACCCAUAGUGCAGGAGACCAGAGACCCCACUGGACAUGUCCUGGGUGAGGAGUGAGGUUUUGGCUUCCGAGA